This 448-nucleotide ribosomal RNA is filed under the name uncultured bacterium. RNAcentral's name for it is "SSU rRNA". It matches the Rfam family "Bacterial small subunit ribosomal RNA", at positions 26 to 518 of the family's 1533-position model. The record is from RNAcentral.
AGAACGAACGCUGGCGGCAUGCCUAACACAUGCAAGUCGAACGCGUGUAGCGAUACACGAGUGGCGGACGGGUGAGUAACGCGUGGGAACCUGCCCUGGAGUGUGGGAUAACCGAGGGAAACUUCGGCUAAUACCGCAUACGACCUGAGGGUGAAAGAUUUAUCGCUCUAGGAGGGGCCCGCGUCGGAUUAGCUAGUUGGUGGGGUAAAGGCCUACCAAGGCAGUGAUCCGUAGCUGGUCUGAGAGGAUGAUCAGCCACACUGGGACUGAGACACGGCCCAGACUCCUACGGGAGGCAGCAGUGGGGAAUAUUGGACAAUGGGGGCAACCCUGAUCCAGCAAUGCCGCGUGAGUGAUGAAGGCCUUAGGGUUGUAAAGCUCUUUCGCGCGCGACGAUGAUGACGGUAGCGCGAGAAGAAGCCCCGGCUAACUUCGCGCCAGCAGCCGC